Neopelma chrysocephalum (saffron-crested tyrant-manakin) is the source of this 983-nucleotide long non-coding RNA. RefSeq lists it as uncharacterized. The record is from RefSeq and is a predicted model, not a curated record. The transcript is spliced from 3 exons. Lineage: Eukaryota; Metazoa; Chordata; Aves; Passeriformes; Pipridae.
GGGACCCCUGAAGAGGGAGGCAAAAACACCCCCCAAAAUGGGACAAUGACACCCCCAAAAUGGGGGCAGGGACCCUUGAAAAGGGGGGCAAAACCACCCCCAAAAUGGGGGCAGGGACGACCCCAAAAUGGGACAAUGACACCCCCAAAAUGGGGACAUGGAUGCCUGAAAAGGAGGACAAAAACCACCCCAGAAUGGGGGAAAAAUACCCCUAAAAUGGGACAAUGACACCCCUAAAAUGGGGGCAAAAAUACCCCUAAAAGAGGGACAAAAACACCCCCAAAAUGGGGGCAGGGACCCUUGAAAAUGGGGACAAAAACAGCCCCAAAAUGGGGAAAAGGACCCCUGAAAAUGGUGACAAAAACACCCCUAAAAUGGGAACAAAAACAUCCCUAAAAUGGGGACAGGGACCUCUGAAAAGGGGGACAAAAACACCUCCAAAAUGGGGACAAAACCACCCCCAAAAGGGGGACAGGGACGGCCCCAAAAUGGGACAAUGACACCCCCGAAAUGGGGACAAAAACACCCCCAAAAUGGGGAAAAGGACCCCUGAAAACGGUGACAAAAACACCCCUAAAAGGGGGACAAAACCACACCCAAAAUGGGGACAAAGACCCCCCAAAGUGGGGACAAGGACAACGAGCUCUGGUGGCUCCGGGGCGUGGCCCUGCUGGGGGACACGGAGGUGACACGGAGCUGGGACAGUGACACGGAGCUGGGACAGUGACACGGGUGUCACACGGAUGUCACACGGAUGUGACGGUGACACGGAGCUGGGACUGUGACACGGAUGUCACACGGAUGUGACAUGGAUGUGACGGUGACACGGAGCUGGGACAGUGACAUGGGUGUCACACGGAUGUCACACGGAUGUGACGGUGACACAGAGCUGGGACAGUGACACAGAUGUCAUACGGAUGUGACGGUGACACGGAGCUGGGACAGUGACACGGAUCUGGGACAGUGACACGGAUGUCACACGG